UGCUCGGUAGUAUAGUGGUUAGUAUCCACGCUUGUCACGCGGAAAGCCGUAGUUCGAUUCCCCGCUGGAGAG
Non-coding RNA from Dryococelus australis, 72 nucleotides. The record is from the annotation of a GenBank genome assembly. Lineage: Eukaryota; Metazoa; Arthropoda; Insecta; Phasmatodea; Phasmatidae.